Vespa crabro (European hornet) is the source of this 551-nucleotide long non-coding RNA. RefSeq lists it as uncharacterized. The record is from RefSeq and is a predicted model, not a curated record. The transcript is spliced from 3 exons. Lineage: Eukaryota; Metazoa; Arthropoda; Insecta; Hymenoptera; Vespidae.
AUUAAUUGAACCACGUUCAUCUCUUGUUGAUCGUUCUUCAUUUUAAACAAGAAGGCUAGUUCACUAUCGUGAGUGAAUACGCAAUUGCAAGAGAGCUCGGACGAUCCGGUUUAAUUGCAUCCACCUGUCUCGUCGACUAAACCGCAUAGUGUACCGUGGUUUAGAGACCUGGUUCUCAUCCUUGAGCUUGCGAUCGACUUUAACAAAGCGGACUUAGGAAGGUAAAAGAAUUCGCAGUCCGCUGGGAGUGGGAAAUGGCUCGUUGCACACGGAGGAAGUCGGGGCGCCUCGACAUUGACAUCACGUUUCAAGGUCACACGUAGGCCGUAACAGAGAAACAUGCAUACGCAUCUCGUGACGUAACUCGGUACAAGCCUGUAAUCUAAGACCGUCUCUAGUGCCUUCGUAAUUAGUGCACAGUUACGUGACAGCUAGAAAAGUGAUUGUGGUCAUCCUGAUCUCCCUUGCAAAUGAGAAUAAUUUUCGUAUUGUGCGCAAAACCGACUAUCUUUUGUAAUAUCGUCAUCGAUAAAAUGAAUUAUUCAUAAGAA